This 443-nucleotide ribosomal RNA is filed under the name uncultured bacterium. Its description in RNAcentral is "partial 16S ribosomal RNA". It matches the Rfam family "Bacterial small subunit ribosomal RNA", at positions 338 to 795 of the family's 1533-position model. The record is from RNAcentral.
CCUACGGGCGGCAGCAGUGGGGAAUAUUGGACAAUGGGGGGAACCCUGAUCCAGCGACGCCGCGUGAGUGAAGAAGGAUUUCGGUAUGUAAAGCUCUAUCAGCAGGGAAGAAAGAAAUGACGGUACCUGACUAAGAAGCCCCGGCUAACUACGUGCCAGCAGCCGCGGUAAUACGUAGGGGGCAAGCGUUAUCCGGAGUUACUGGGUGUAAAGGGAGCGUAGACGGUUACGCAAGUCAGGAGUGAAAGGCGGGGGCCCAACCCCCGGACUGCUUGGGAUACUGUAUAACUGGAGUACAGGAGAGGUAAGCAGAAUUCCUAGUGUAGCGGUGAAAUGCGUAGAUAUUAGGAGGAACACCAGUGGCGAAGGCGGCUUACUGGACUGUAACUGACGUUGAGGCUCGAAAGCGUGGGGAGCAAACAGGAUUAGAUACCCCUGUAGUC